This 338-nucleotide long non-coding RNA is filed under the name Salvator merianae (Argentine black and white tegu). RNAcentral describes it as "lncRNA (ENSSMRG00000004248.1)". The record is from RNAcentral. Lineage: Eukaryota; Metazoa; Chordata; Lepidosauria; Squamata; Teiidae.
UGAGAUGCCCAGAGAGGCAGCGAGGGAAAAAGAGGCGGGGGCUGAAUCAGACCUGNGAGGACUCCGUUGGUCCCAUUCUGACUCUAAUCUGCUGCUCCAGAGAGAAUGGUGGAGGGAUCUGAGGAAGAAGCCAAGAGGUGCCUUUUUCAGCCACCAUAUGGAGGCUUCCUGCGCCAGAGCUACUGAGGAAAACAUUGUCCUGAUGCCUCAUUGAUAAAGANUGGAGAAUUCACCAGAAAUGUUUAGAAAUCAAUAGAUAAAAAGUCAAGGAAACAAAGAAAAAAAAUUUGAAUAGUUCCCUUCUUUCUGAGGAUAUUAAUUACUGUAAAUCUCUGAAA